AUUGAACGCUAGCGGGAUGCUUUACACAUGCAAGUCGAACGGCAGCGCGGACUUCGGUCUGGCGGCGAGUGGCGAACGGGUGAGUAAUGUAUCGGAACGUGCCCAGUAGCGGGGGAUAACUACGCGAAAGCGUAGCUAAUACCGCAUACGCCCUACGGGGGAAAGCAGGGGAUCGUAAGACCUUGCACUAUUUGAGCGGCCGAUAUCGGAUUAGCUAGUUGGUGAGGUAACGGCUCACCAAGGCGACGAUCCGUAGCUGGUUUGAGAGGACGACCAGCCACACUGGGACUGGGACACGGCCCAGACUCCUACGGGAGGCAGCAGUGGGGAAUUUUGGACAAUGGGGGCAACCCUGAUCCAGCCAUCCCGCGUGUGCGAUGAAGGCCUUCGGGUUGUAAAGCACUUUUGGCAGGAAAGAAACGUCGCGGGCUAAUACCCCGUGGAGCUGACGGUACCUGCAGAAUAAGCACCGGCUAACUACGUG
This 484-nucleotide ribosomal RNA is filed under the name uncultured bacterium. RNAcentral describes it as "partial 16S ribosomal RNA". It matches the Rfam family "Bacterial small subunit ribosomal RNA", at positions 30 to 507 of the family's 1533-position model. The record is from RNAcentral.